Small nucleolar RNA from Astatotilapia calliptera (eastern happy), 72 nucleotides. Ensembl annotates it as small nucleolar RNA SNORD49. Lineage: Eukaryota; Metazoa; Chordata; Actinopteri; Cichliformes; Cichlidae. The record is from Ensembl.
UUCAGUGAUGAAAACUGCUGCAUAGGAAGUGCCGUCUGAUGCGAUAACUGACGAUAGAAAGCUGUUCUGAGA